RNAcentral lists this long non-coding RNA (304 nucleotides) under Musa acuminata (dwarf banana). Its description in RNAcentral is "long non-coding RNA (MACU_LNC003021)". Lineage: Eukaryota; Viridiplantae; Streptophyta; Magnoliopsida; Zingiberales; Musaceae. The record is from RNAcentral.
UUCUCCUCCUCCUUAUCAAGGAGGAGGAGAUGGAGGAGAGAAUGCUGGAGCUGGAGAUGGUAGCUCUGCGGUGAUCACACCCCAUGGCCUGAACAUCAACGUUGGAGAGCCAGUGAAACGGAAGAGGGGGCGGCCGAGGAAGUACGGACCCCAUGGCCUAGCUCUGAACCCUUUAUCUACUGCUGCUUCAGUCUUGCCGGUAGCCGGUGCAUUCUCUCCUCCUGCAGGGAUGGCUAACCCGGCCGAUGCCACUAAGAAACCAAGGGGCCGGCCACCGGGUUCCGGCAACAAGAAGCAGAAGCUG